CNAACGACUCUCGGCAACGGAUAUCUCGGCUCACGCAUCGAUGAAGAACGUAGCAAAAUGCGAUACUUGGUGUGAAUUGCAGAAUCCCGUGAACCAUCGAGUUUUUGAACGCAAGUUGCGCCCGAAGCCAUCCGGUCGAGGGCACGUCUGCCUGGGCGUCACGC
This 164-nucleotide ribosomal RNA is filed under the name Llerasia lindenii. RNAcentral's name for it is "5.8S ribosomal RNA". It matches the Rfam family "5.8S ribosomal RNA". From Rfam's summary of the family: 5.8S ribosomal RNA (5.8S rRNA) is a component of the large subunit of the eukaryotic ribosome. It is transcribed by RNA polymerase I as part of the 45S precursor that also contains 18S and 28S rRNA. Functionally, it is thought that 5.8S rRNA may be involved in ribosome translocation. The record is from RNAcentral. Lineage: Eukaryota; Viridiplantae; Streptophyta; Magnoliopsida; Asterales; Asteraceae.